GAGGAAAAGAAACUAACAAGGAUUCCCCUAGUAACGGCGAGUGAAGCGGGAAGAGCUCAAAUUUGUAAUCUGGCCCUUUCAGGGUCCGAGUUGUAAUCUCGAGAAGUGUUUUCCGCGUCGGACUGCAUACAAGUCUAUUGGAAUAUAGCGUCAUAGUGGUGAGAGCCCCGUAACUGAUGCAGAUGCCCGAUGCUUUGUGAUACACUUUCGAAGAGUCGAGUUGUUUGGGAAUGCAGCUCAAAUUGGGUGGUAAAUUCCAUCUAAAGCUAAAUAUUGGCGAGAGACCGAUAGCGAACAAGUACCGUGAGGGAAAGAUGAAAAGCACUUUGGAAAGAGAGUUAACAGUACGUGAAAUUGUUGGAAGGGAAACGCUUGAAAUCAGACUUGCUAUUCGGAAUUCAGCCGCAAGGUGUACUUUUCGAUUUGCAGGCCAGCAUCAGUUUUUGGGGGUGGAAAAGGGUGGAGAGAAGGUAGCAACCCCGGUUGUGUUAUAGCUCUUCACUGGAUUCAUCUUUGGGGACUGAGGAUCGCAGUGCGCAUUUAUUUGCAAACCUCUCGAGGUUUUCGUACUUAGGAUGCUGGUGGAAUGGUUUUAAACGACCCGUCUU
This 608-nucleotide ribosomal RNA is filed under the name Glaciozyma martinii. RNAcentral's name for it is "eukaryotic LSU rRNA". It matches the Rfam family "Eukaryotic large subunit ribosomal RNA", at positions 53 to 655 of the family's 3401-position model. Lineage: Eukaryota; Fungi; Basidiomycota; Microbotryomycetes; Kriegeriales; Camptobasidiaceae. The record is from RNAcentral.